ACACUGCUCAGUAACACGUAGCUAACCUACCCUUAGGACGUGGAUACCCCCGAGAAAUUGGGGUUAAUCCGCGAUAGAUGUAAUGUCCUGGAAUGGUAUUACGUCUAAAGGUAUUUCAUACAUGUUUGAAAUAUGCCUAAGGAUGGGGCUGCGGCCGAUCAGGCUGUUGGUGAGGUAAUGGCUCACCAAACCUUUGACCGGUACGGGCCAUGAGAGUGGUAGCCCGGAGAUGGACACUGAGACAAGGGUCCAGGCCCUAAGGGGCGCAGCAACCGCGAAACCUCCACAAUGCACUCACGUGCGAUGGGGCUAUCUCGAGUGCCACCUGAUGAAGGUGGCUUUUCCUUGGUCUUCAAAGCCUUGGGAAUAAGAGGGGGGCAAGACUGGUGUCAGCCGCCGCGGUAACACCAGCCCCUCGAGUGGUGGGGAUGAUUAUUUGGCCUAAAGCGUCCGUAGCCGGCCGUGAAAGUCUUCCGUUAAAUCCAGCGUCUCAAGCGUUGGACCGCGGGAGAUACUACAUGGCUAGAGAGUGGGAGAGGUCAGCGGUAUUCUGGGGGUAGGGGCGAAAUCCUUUGAUCCCCGGAGGACCACCAGUGGCGAAGGCUGCUGACUAGAACACGUCUGACGGUCAGGGACGAAAGCUGGGGUAGCGAACCGGAUUAGAUACCCGGGUAGUCCCAGCCGUAAACGAUGCAUGCUAGGUGUUGGGUUGGCCACGAGCCACCCCAGUGCCGCAGGGAAGCCGUUAAGCAUGCCGCCUGGGAAGUACGAUCGCAAGAUUGAAACUUAAAGGAAUUGGCGGGGGAGCACCACCAGGCGUGAAGCCUGCGGUUUAAUUGGAUUCAACGCCGGA
This 853-nucleotide ribosomal RNA is filed under the name uncultured archaeon. RNAcentral describes it as "bacterial SSU rRNA". It matches the Rfam family "Archaeal small subunit ribosomal RNA", at positions 83 to 922 of the family's 1478-position model. The record is from RNAcentral.